This 432-nucleotide unclassified non-coding RNA is filed under the name soil metagenome. RNAcentral describes it as "partial contains 5.8S ribosomal RNA, internal transcribed spacer 2, and large subunit ribosomal RNA". The stretch from base 1 to 120 matches the Rfam family "5.8S ribosomal RNA", at positions 35 to 154 of the family's 154-position model. The record is from RNAcentral.
GAUGAAGAACGUAGCGAAAUGCGAUACGUAAUGUGAAUUGCAGAAUUCAGUGAAUCAUCGAAUCUUUGAACGCAUAUUGCGCUCUCUGGUAUUCCGGAGAGCAUGCUUGUUUGAGUAUCAGUAAACACCUCAACUUCCAUAUCUUUUUUUGAAAUGGGAGUUGGACUUGAGUGAUCCCAACGCUUUUCCUCACCGAAAAGUGGCGGGUUACUUGAAAUGCAGGUGCAGCUGGACUUUUCUCUGAGCUAUAAGCAUAUCUAUUUAGUCUGCCUAAAAAACAGAUUAUUACCUUUGCUGCAGCUAACAUAAAGGAGAUUAGUUCUUGUGCUGACUGAUGCAGGAUUCACAAAGACAGCUUCGGCCGACUUUGUAAACUCGAUCUCAAAUCAAGUAAGACUACCCGCUGAACUUAAGCAUAUCAAUAAGCGGGGA